Molecule: ribosomal RNA, 512 nt
Filed under: uncultured Suttonella sp.
Lineage: Bacteria; Pseudomonadati; Pseudomonadota; Gammaproteobacteria; Cardiobacteriales; Cardiobacteriaceae
Description: bacterial SSU rRNA
Rfam family: Bacterial small subunit ribosomal RNA
Source: RNAcentral
GUGCCAGCCGCCGCGGUAAUACGGAGGGUGCAAGCGUUAUUCGGAAUGACUGGGCGUAAAGCGCACGCAGGCGGAUAAGUAAGUCAGAUGUGAAAGCCCCGGGCUUAACCUGGGGAAUUGCAUUUGAAACUGCUUGUCUAGAGUAUGUCAGAGGAAGGCGGGAACUUCCAGUGUAGCAGUGAAAUGCGUAGAUAUUGGAAAGAACACCGAUGGCGAAGGCAGCCUUCUGGGGCAAUACUGACGCUCAUGUGCGAAAGCGUGGGUAGCAAACGGGAUUAGAUACCCCGGUAGUCCACGCCCUAAACGAUGUCAACUAGGUGUUGGGGACCUUGAGUUCUCGGUACCGGAGCUAACGCAUUAAGUUGACCGCCUGGGGAGUACGGCCGCAAGGUUGAAACUCAAAGAAAUUGACGGGACCCGCACAAGCGGUGGAGCAUGUGGUUUAAUUCGAUGCAACGCGAAGAACCUUACCAGGCCUUGACAUCCAGAGAACAUUUAGAGAUAGAAUGGUG